AGUGAACGCUGGCGGCAGGCCUAACACAUGCAAGUCGAGCGGAGCGGCGGACGGGUGAGUAAUGCCUAGGAAUCUGCCUGUUAGUGGGGGAUAACGUCCGGAAACGGGCGCUAAUACCGCAUACUAUCAGAUGAGCCUAGGUCGGCUUAGCUAGGUGGUGGGGUAAUGGCCUACCAAGGCGACGAUCCGUAACUGGUCUGAGAGGAUGAUCAGUCACACUGGAACUGAGACACGGUCCAGACUCCUACGGGAGGCAGCAGUGGGGAAUAUUGGACAAUGGGCGAAAGCCUGAUCCAGCCAUGCCGCGUGUGUGAAGAAGGUCUUCGGAUUGUAAAGCACUUUAAGUUGGGAGGCGUUACCAACAGAAUAAGCACCGGCUAACUGCGUGCCAGCAGCCGCGGUAAUAC
RNAcentral lists this ribosomal RNA (407 nucleotides) under uncultured bacterium. RNAcentral describes it as "partial 16S ribosomal RNA". It matches the Rfam family "Bacterial small subunit ribosomal RNA", at positions 29 to 526 of the family's 1533-position model. The record is from RNAcentral.